Molecule: non-coding RNA, 341 nt
Organism: Plutella xylostella (diamondback moth)
Lineage: Eukaryota; Metazoa; Arthropoda; Insecta; Lepidoptera; Plutellidae
Source: RefSeq, a predicted model, not a curated record
AUGAAGUAAGUAAUAUGUUUUCUUCUUUGCUAAUACAGAUGCAACAGUCAACAAACGUAACUAUUAAGUUUACCGACUGUACGAGGCAGAGCAUAAACAAACUAACCAGCGCUAUUAAUAGGCUGGUAGUAAGUGCCGGUGUCACUGCAGCCCCGCGCUCCAACAUGUCGCCAGCUACGGCCUUUGUCAUCGCCACCUUAGCUUUGUUGGCGGCUGUGGCGGCUGUCACUAAUCAUGAGAGUAACCGCAAAUACUUUGUCGUUGGAUGAUUGAGGAUUAGGUUAUCUUUAAAAGCUACUUUGACAGAUACUAUAAAUAAAAAUAAUAUGUAUUUAUAUGAC